UACGUAGGGUGCAAGCGUUGUCCGGAAUUAUUGGGCGUAAAGGGCGUGUAGGCGGGAAGGAAAGUCAGAUGUGAAAUCCCCCAGGCUCAACCUGGGAACUGCAUUUGAAACUCCCUUUCUUGAGUACCGGAGAGGAAAGUGGAAUUCCUGGUGUAGAGGUGAAAUUCGUAGAUAUCAAGCGGAACACCGGUGGCGAAGGCGGCCUUCUGGACAGUGACUGACGCUGAGACGCGAAAGCGUAGGGAGCAAACAGG
RNAcentral lists this ribosomal RNA (254 nucleotides) under uncultured bacterium. RNAcentral describes it as "partial 16S ribosomal RNA". It matches the Rfam family "Bacterial small subunit ribosomal RNA", at positions 524 to 776 of the family's 1533-position model. The record is from RNAcentral.